Molecule: ribosomal RNA, 597 nt
Filed under: uncultured bacterium
Lineage: Bacteria
Description: bacterial SSU rRNA
Rfam family: Bacterial small subunit ribosomal RNA
Source: RNAcentral
AAUGCUUAGGAAUCUGCCUAUUAGUGGGGGACAACAUUCCGAAAGGAAUGCUAAUACCACAUACGCCCUACGGGGGAAAGCAGGGGAUCUUCGGACCUUGCGCUAAUAGAUGAGCCUAAGUCAGAUUAGCUAGUUGGUGGGGUAAAGGCCUACCAAGGCGACGAUCUGUAGCGGGUCUGAGAGGAUGAUCCGCCACACUGGGACUGAGACACGGCCCAGACUCCUACGGGAGGCAGCAGUGGGGAAUAUUGGACAAUGGGCGCAAGCCUGAUCCAGCCAUGCCGCGUGUGUGAAGAAGGCCUUUUGGUUGUAAAGCACUUUAAGCGAGGAGGAGGCUACUUGGAUUAAUACUCUAGGAUAGUGGACGUUACUCGCAGAAUAAGCACCGGCUAACUCUGUGCCAGCAGCCGCGGUAAUACAGAGGGUGCGAGCGUUAAUCGGAUUUACUGGGCGUAAAGCGUGCGUAGGCGGCUUUUUAAGUCGGAUGUGAAAUCCCUGGGCUCAACCUGGGAAUUGCAUUCGAUACUGGGAAGCUAGAGUAUGGGAGAGGAUGGUAGAAUUCCAGGUGUAGCGGUGAAAUGCGUAGAGAUCUGGAGG